UCGAGAAUCUUCGGCAAUGGGCGCAAGCCUGACCGAGCGACGCCGCGUGCGGGAUGAAGGCCUUCGGGUUGUAAACCGCUGUCAGUGGGGAGGAAGGCUCCGUGAAGAACGGAAUUUGACCUAUCCGCAGAGGAAGCAUGGGCUAAGUUCGUGCCAGCAGCCGCGGUAAGACGAACCAUGCAAACGUUAUUCGGAAUCACUGGGCUUAAAGGGUGCGUAGGCGGUGCGGAAAGUUGGGUGUGAAAUCCCUCAGCUUAACUGAGGAACUGCGCUCAAAACUUCCGUGCUCGAGGGAGAUAGAGGUGAGCGGAACUUAGGGUGGAGCGGUGAAAUGCGUUGAUAUCCUAAGGAACACCGGUGGCGAAAGCGGCUCACUGGAUCUUUUCUGACGCUGAGGCACGAAAGCUAGGGGAGCAAACGGGAUUAGAUACCCCUGUAGUCC
Molecule: ribosomal RNA, 442 nt
Filed under: uncultured bacterium
Lineage: Bacteria
Description: bacterial SSU rRNA
Rfam family: Bacterial small subunit ribosomal RNA
Source: RNAcentral